This 468-nucleotide ribosomal RNA is filed under the name uncultured bacterium. RNAcentral describes it as "partial 16S ribosomal RNA". It matches the Rfam family "Bacterial small subunit ribosomal RNA", at positions 28 to 507 of the family's 1533-position model. The record is from RNAcentral.
GACGAACGCUGGCGGCGUGCUUAACACAUGCAAGUCGAACGGAAAGGCCCUGCUUUUGUGGGGUGCUCGAGUGGCGAACGGGUGAGUAACACGUGAGUAACCUGCCCUUGACUUUGGGAUAACUUCAGGAAACUGGGGCUAAUACCGGAUAGGAGCUCCUGCUGCAUGGUGGGGGUUGGAAAGUUUCGGCGGUUGGGGAUGGACUCGCGGCUUAUCAGCUUGUUGGUGGAGUAGUGGCUUACCAAGGCUUUGACGGGUAGCCGGCCUGAGAGGGUGACCGGCCACAUUGGGACUGAGAUACGGCCCAGACUCCUACGGGAGGCAGCAGUGGGGAAUAUUGCACAAUGGGCGGAAGCCUGAUGCAGCAACGCCGCGUGCGGGAUGACGGCCUUCGGGUUGUAAACCGCUUUCGCCUGUGACGAAGCGUGAGUGACGGUAAUGGGUAAAGAAGCACCGGCUAACUACGUG